UACGUAGGGUGCAAGCGUUAAUCGGAAUUACUGGGCGUAAAGCGUGCGCAGGCGGUUUUGUAAGUCUGAUGUGAAAUCCCCGGGCUCAACCUGGGAAUUGCAUUGGAGACUGCAAGGCUAGAAUCUGGCAGAGGGGGGUAGAAUUCCACGUGUAGCGGUGAAAUGCGUAGAGAUGUGGAGGAACACCGAUGGCGAAGGCAGCCCCCUGGGUCAAGAUUGACGCUCAUGCACGAAAGCGUGGGGAGCAAACAGG
RNAcentral lists this ribosomal RNA (253 nucleotides) under uncultured bacterium. RNAcentral describes it as "partial 16S ribosomal RNA". It matches the Rfam family "Bacterial small subunit ribosomal RNA", at positions 524 to 776 of the family's 1533-position model. The record is from RNAcentral.